ACAUGAACCACUGGCUGAGAAACAUCCUGAUUCUGACUCUCUGGCUAGAGUGUAAAGGAGAAGACAGAGUGACCCAGCCAGCAGGAGAUGUCAUUGCUGCUGAAGGAGACACAGUUACACUUGGCUGUACUUUUGAGACUAGUGACACUCCAGCUUUGUUCUGGUACAAACAGGAUGGAAACAACAGCCCCAAAUUCAUGUUGAGCCGCAUGCAAGGGGUCGAAGUAAAAACAGAGGACGAGUUUAAGGAGAGAUUUUCAUCCACACUGGAUUCCACCUCAAGAUCAGUUCCUCUGAAGAUCCAGAAGCUUCAGCUGUCUGACUCUGCUGUGUACUACUGUGCUCUGCAGCCCACAGUGACAGGAAACACCAAAACUCUGUACAAAAAC
Molecule: non-coding RNA, 389 nt
Organism: Micropterus dolomieu (smallmouth bass)
Lineage: Eukaryota; Metazoa; Chordata; Actinopteri; Centrarchiformes; Centrarchidae
Source: the annotation of a RefSeq genome assembly